This 253-nucleotide ribosomal RNA is filed under the name uncultured bacterium. RNAcentral's name for it is "partial 16S ribosomal RNA". It matches the Rfam family "Bacterial small subunit ribosomal RNA", at positions 524 to 776 of the family's 1533-position model. The record is from RNAcentral.
UACGUAGGGCGCAAGCGUUGUCCGGAAUUAUUGGGCGUAAAGAGCUCGUAGGCGGUCUGUCGCGUCGGCUGUGAAAACCCGAGGCUCAACCUCGGGCCUGCAGUCGAUACGGGCAGACUAGAGUGCUGUAGGGGAGACUGGAAUUCCUGGUGUAGCGGUGAAAUGCGCAGAUAUCAGGAGGAACACCGGUGGCGAAGGCGGGUCUCUGGGCAGUAACUGACGCUGAGGAGCGAAAGCGUGGGGAGCAAACAGG